Molecule: ribosomal RNA, 773 nt
Filed under: uncultured Neocallimastigales
Lineage: Eukaryota; Fungi; Neocallimastigomycota; Neocallimastigomycetes; Neocallimastigales
Description: partial large subunit ribosomal RNA
Rfam family: Eukaryotic large subunit ribosomal RNA
Source: RNAcentral
GUACACGCUGUGACUAGCAUAUCAAUAAGCGGAGGAAAAGAAACUAACAAGGAUUCCCCUAGUAACGGCGAGUGAAGCGGGAAGAGCUCAAAUUUGAAAUCUUAAAGGGUUUCCCUUUACGAAUUGUAGUUUAAAGAAGUGUUUUCUGUUGAGGUUUUGGUAAAAGUUCUUUGGAAUAGGACAUCAUAGAGGGUGAGAAUCCCGUAUUUGACCUUUACUUUCAACUUUGUGAUACACUUUCAAAGAGUCGGAUUGUUUGGGAAUGCAGUCCAAAUGGGUGGUAAAUUUCAUCUAAAGCUAAAUAUUGGCGAGAGACCGAUAGCGAACAAGUACCGUGAGGGAAAGAUGAAAAGAACUUUGAAAAGAGAGUUAUACAGUACGUGAAAUUGUCAAAAGGGAAGCGUUUGACACCAGUGUUGUUUUUCUGAAAAUCAAUUAAAGAACUGUUUAUGCUAAGCUGUUUAGACUUUAUCAGCUAUCUGUUUAGUUUUGAGCUUUUCUUUAAUGCACUUUUCAGUUAACAAGUCAACAUCAAUUUCUUUUGCUGUAAAAAAGCUUGAGGAAGGUGGCUUGAGAUUCGUCUUAAGUGUUUAUAGCCUCUUGCCUAUGCAGUCGGAGAGAUUGAGGUCUGCAGCGUAGAUCCUUCGGGGCUAAAUGCAUUUGUGCUAAGUUAUAGCAUUUUAUAGACAACUUGUUGACUAUGAUUUGUCUUGUAGCUUACUCGCUUAUGUUAUUUUACCUACGCUUAGGAUGUUGAUAUGCAUGACUGAUAU